CAGAGGGUGCGUAGCGUUGUCCGGAAUCACUGGGCGUAAAGGGCGCGUAGGCGGCCUGGUUAGUAGGGGGUGAAAUCUUGCGGCUCAACUGCAAGGCUGCCUCCUAAACUGCCGGGCUGGAGCACGGUAGAGGCAGAUGGAAUUCCCGGUGUAGCGGUGGAAUGCGUAGAGAUCGGGAAGAACAUCGGUGGCGAAGGCGGUCUGCUGGGCCGUUGCUGACGCUGAGGCGCGACAGCGUGGGGAGCAAACAGGAUUAGAUACCCUGGUAGUCCACGCCGUAAACGAUGGGUACUAGGCGUCGGGGGGAGCGACCCCUUCGGUGCCGUCGCUAACGCAGUAAGUACCCCGCCUGGGGAGUACGGCCGCAAGGCUG
Molecule: ribosomal RNA, 373 nt
Filed under: uncultured organism
Description: bacterial SSU rRNA
Rfam family: Bacterial small subunit ribosomal RNA
Source: RNAcentral